GGGGAUAUGGCGGAAUUGGUAGACGCUACGGACUUGAUCGAAUUGAGCCUUGGUAUGGAAACCUACCAAGUGAUAGCUUCCAAAUAAAAUCCGUUGGCUUUAUAGACCGUGAGGGUUCAAGUCCCUCUAUCCCCA
RNAcentral lists this transfer RNA (135 nucleotides) under Picea torano. Its description in RNAcentral is "tRNA-Leu". It matches the Rfam family "tRNA". Rfam says of the family: Transfer RNA (tRNA) molecules are approximately 80 nucleotides in length. Their secondary structure includes four short double-helical elements and three loops (D, anti-codon, and T loops). Further hydrogen bonds mediate the characteristic L-shaped molecular structure. tRNAs have two regions of fundamental functional importance: the anti-codon, which is responsible for specific mRNA codon recognition, and the 3' end, to which the tRNAs corresponding amino acid is attached (by aminoacyl-tRNA synthetases). tRNAs cope with the degeneracy of the genetic code in two manners: having more than one tRNA (with a specific anti-codon) for a particular amino acid; and 'wobble' base-pairing, i.e. permitting non-standard base-pairing at the 3rd anti-codon position. Lineage: Eukaryota; Viridiplantae; Streptophyta; Pinopsida; Pinales; Pinaceae. RNAcentral also lists the same sequence under 1 other name. The record is from RNAcentral.